UAAAGGAAAAUUACCAAUGAUCUAAUUUUUCAUAUCUUCCCAAAAGGAAGGAAAGGACAGAAUUUGGUUUCUGAAGCCCAUUCAGAAGGGGUUAUUCAGGGUGUCCUUACAGAAAAAAAAGAAAGAUUUGGGAUGAGAAGACAGAAGCAAUUGGACACUAGAAGAAGCUUGCCUCAGGCCAUGCUGUCAAGCUUCUUGGCAUUGGAGUGCUUUCAGUGA
This 219-nucleotide long non-coding RNA is filed under the name Pan troglodytes (chimpanzee). RNAcentral describes it as "lncRNA (ENSPTRG00000053340.1)". Lineage: Eukaryota; Metazoa; Chordata; Mammalia; Primates; Hominidae. The record is from RNAcentral.